UAGUCAUGCCAGUAAAUAGUAGUAUUAGUUA
This 31-nucleotide non-coding RNA is filed under the name Mus musculus (house mouse). Lineage: Eukaryota; Metazoa; Chordata; Mammalia; Rodentia; Muridae. The record is from RNAcentral.